AACGAACGCUGGCGGCGUGGCUAAGACAUGCAAGUCGAACGAUACGUUGUAGCAAUAUGGCGUAUAGUGGCGGACGGGUGAGUAAUGAAUAGGUAACGUACCCCGGGCACAGGAAUAGCGUCGAACCCCGCAAGGGGUUCUUUGCGAAAGUGUACGGUAAUACCUGGUGACGUCAUUAAGGGGCAUCUCUUGAUGACCAUAGGGUGGGGACCUUCGGGCCUAUCGGCCUGGGAGCGGCCUAUUUCCAUCAGCUAGUUGGUGAGGUAACGGCUCACCAAGGCAACGACGGGUAACCGGACUGAGAGGUUGGCCGGUCACAUCGGGACUGAGACACUGCCCGGACAUCUACGGAUGGCUGCAGUAACGAAUAUUCCGCAAGUGGGCGCAAGCCUGACGGAGCGACGCCGCGUGGAGGACGAAUUCCUUGGAUGUAACUCCUUUAGGGAUCUGAAACAGAGCGCGCUAAUACCGCGCGAGUUGAU
RNAcentral lists this ribosomal RNA (482 nucleotides) under uncultured bacterium. RNAcentral's name for it is "bacterial SSU rRNA". It matches the Rfam family "Bacterial small subunit ribosomal RNA", at positions 29 to 476 of the family's 1533-position model. The record is from RNAcentral.